This 349-nucleotide ribosomal RNA is filed under the name uncultured soil bacterium. Its description in RNAcentral is "bacterial SSU rRNA". It matches the Rfam family "Bacterial small subunit ribosomal RNA", at positions 27 to 399 of the family's 1533-position model. The record is from RNAcentral.
GGAACGAACGCUGGCGGCAUGCCUAAUACAUGCAAGUCGAACGAAGGCUUCGGCCUUAGUGGCGCACGGGUGCGUAACGCGUGGGAAUCUGCCCCUUGGUUCGGAAUAACAGUUGGAAACGACUGCUAAUACCGGAUGAUGACGAAAGUCCAAAGAUUUAUCGCCAAGGGAUGAGCCCGCGUAGGAUUAGCUAGUUGGUGAGGUAAAGGCUCACCAAGGCGACGAUCCUUAGCUGGUCUGAGAGGAUGAUCAGCCACACUGGGACUGAGACACCGGCCAGACUCCUACGGGAGCAGCAGUACGGAAUAGUGGACAAGUGGGACGAAAGCCUGAUCCGAGACAAGUGCCG